This 649-nucleotide ribosomal RNA is filed under the name uncultured Eubacteriales bacterium. Its description in RNAcentral is "bacterial SSU rRNA". It matches the Rfam family "Bacterial small subunit ribosomal RNA", at positions 54 to 717 of the family's 1533-position model. Lineage: Bacteria; Bacillati; Bacillota; Clostridia; Eubacteriales. The record is from RNAcentral.
GAUGAAACUUUAACAGAACCCUUCGGGGCGAAGAUAAAGUGGAUUAGCGGCGGACGGGUGAGUAACACGUGAGUAACCUGCCUUAGACAUUGGGAUAGCCUCGGGAAACCGGGAUUAAUACCAAAUAAAAUCAUAAUGACACAUGUCAUAACGAUCAAAACUCCGGUGGUCUAAGAUGGACUCGCGUCCCAUUAGCUAGUUGGUAGAGUAAAAGCCUACCAAGGCGACGAUGGGUAGCCGGCCUGAGAGGGUGAACGGCCACAUCGGAACUGAGAAACGGUCCAAACUUCUACGGGAGGCAGCAGUGGGGAAUAUUGCACAAUGGAGGGAACUCUGAUGCAGCGACGCCGCGUGAACGAAGAAGGCUUUCGAGUCGUAAAGUUCUUUUAUAUGGGAAGAUAAUGACGGUACCAUAAGAAAAAGCCCCGGCUAACUACGUGCCAGCAGCCGCGGUAAUACGUAGGGGGCUAGCGUUGUCCGGAAUCACUGGGCGUAAAGGGUUCGCAGGCGGAAAUGCAAGUCAGAUGUAAAAGGCAGUAGCUUAACUACUGUAAGCAUUUGAAACUGCAUAUCUUGAGAAGAGUAGAGGUAAGUGGAAUUUUUAGUGUAGCGGUGAAAUGCGUAGAUAUUAAAAAGAAUACCGGUGGCG